AAAAUCAUGAGGAUAAUUGAUUACGUAAAUGCAGUGUUUUACCCAGGGCAGGGAAAUCAAGAACUAGAGAACAUAGGUUUAAAAUGACAGGGGAAAGAUUUAAUAGGAACCUAAGGGGCAACUUU
Molecule: long non-coding RNA, 125 nt
Organism: Amblyraja radiata (thorny skate)
Lineage: Eukaryota; Metazoa; Chordata; Chondrichthyes; Rajiformes; Rajidae
Exons: 3
Source: RefSeq, a predicted model, not a curated record